This is a non-coding RNA of Ciona intestinalis (vase tunicate), 502 nucleotides long. Lineage: Eukaryota; Metazoa; Chordata; Ascidiacea; Phlebobranchia; Cionidae. The record is from RefSeq and is a predicted model, not a curated record.
UGGACCGUUUCAGAUUAAAUGUAUGAUAUUAGAUAAAUGCACUGCUAUGUUAAAAAAAUAAGAUGUUAAAAAACCUUGUGGUAUUUAUAACUGGAGGUGCGUCUGGCCUCGGAAAAGCCACAGCGGAUUAUUUGUUAUCUAAGGGAGCUAGAGUUGUUGUGUUUGAUAUAAAUGCUCCUGGCGACAACGACUUGUCACCUAAAAAUGACAACCCCAUCGGCGAAGUGUUCUCACCUCAUGUGACCAACAGUAACUGUUUGUUCUUUAAAGGCAAUGUUUUAUCAACUAAUGAUGUGGAAACCGCGAUUAAUAAAGCAAAGGAAAGAUGGGGAGGGCUGAAUGUGGCUUUGAACUGUGCAGGUGUUUCAAUAUCAUGCAGGUUGUACAACCCAAACAAUGACCACCCUUUGGACUUGCAUGAAAUACAGAAGGUUCUAAACACCCACGUUGUUGGGAACUUUAACGUGAUAAGACUCGCAGCUCAAGCGAUGGCUGAAAACAA